Molecule: long non-coding RNA, 206 nt
Filed under: Musa acuminata (dwarf banana)
Lineage: Eukaryota; Viridiplantae; Streptophyta; Magnoliopsida; Zingiberales; Musaceae
Description: long non-coding RNA (MACU_LNC010526)
Source: RNAcentral
GUAUGAAUAAUGAAAUUAGCAUAUAUUGGAAGCACAUGCAGAACAACGAAAUGUACAUAUGCCUUUCGAGUCAAUACGAUACAAACAUAAUCUUUCACAAAUGUAUUUAGAUUUGAAAGGAAACAAAAGCAAGGGCAUACAAGGAUUUCAAGAAAUCACAUAUAGCUCAAUUGAAAUAAGAAAGUUAGAUAAAUUCAAUGUCCAAA